AAUAGAUACCCGGGUAGUCCACCCCGUAAACGUUGGGAACUAGUUGUGGGGUCCAUUCCACGGAUUCCGUGACGCAGCUAACGCAUUAAGUUCCCCGCCCGGGGAGUACGGCCGCAAGGCUAAAACUCAAAGGAAUUGACGGGGACCCGCACAAGCGGCGGAGCAUGCGGAUUAAUUCGAUGCAACGCGAAGAACCUUACCAAGGCUUGACAUAUACGAGAACGGGCCAGAAAUAGUCAACUCUCUGGACACUCGUAAACAGGUGGUGCAUGGUUGUCGUCAGCUCGUGUCGUGAGAUGUUGGGUUAAGUCCCGCAACGAGCGCAACCCUCGUUCUAUGUUGCCAGCACGUAAUGGUGGGAACUCAUGGGAUACUGCCGGGGUCAACUCGGAGGAAGGUGGGGAUGACGUCAAAUCAUCAUGCCCCUUAUGUCUUGGGCUUCACGCAUGCUACAAUGGCCGGUACAAAGGGCUGCAAUACCGCGAGGUGGAGCGAAUCCCAAAAAGCCGGUCCCAGUUCGGAUUGAGGUCUGCAACUCGACCUCA
Molecule: ribosomal RNA, 545 nt
Filed under: uncultured bacterium
Lineage: Bacteria
Description: bacterial SSU rRNA
Rfam family: Bacterial small subunit ribosomal RNA
Source: RNAcentral